GGAAGGAUCAUUACCACGUUCCAAACGUAUCAACCAAUGUGAACUCCUUUUAACUCUCCCAACCGUGAAGUGAAUGAGCUGAAUCGUAUGAGUGCGUGUGCGGGGUCCUUAGCUGACCAGCGAGUACGAAACAACUUACGGCGCGAAAGCAUCGUAGACGGCUGUAUCACAUGGCGGGUGGCUUUUCCUUACUACCUUGGUCUCUGCACCGAUUGCGGGUAGUCUGGAGCACAAACAUUAACGAUAAUAACCGCAUUUUGCUAGUUGACUUAUUUCUGUUUGUCCUUGCUUCGGCAUGGCGGACGCGUUUUUAAUUAGACAAAAUUACAACUCUUAGCAAUGGAUAUCUAGGUUCUCGCAACGAUGAAGAACGCAGCGAAAUGCGAUACGUAAUGCGAAUUGCAGAAUUCAGUGAAUCAUCAAAUCUUUGAACGCAAAUUGCGCUCUUGGGUAGCCCUAGGAGCACGCCUCUCUCAGUAUCGGUUCAACCCGUCCUCAGCAACGUGCAUGGUGCUUCGGCUCUAUGCGCGUGUUCGCUGGAGAAUGAGAGUCUGUGAGCUUGGCCUCGCAGUCUCUUUAAAUGCAUGGAGUGGAAGAUAACUCUUCGGUCAGCUUCGGCGCUUCGGCGUCGGAUUACACAGGUUUAACUGUGGCUGCGCGAGUGACGUGAAUAUUGGCCCUCGGGUCUCCCUUUACGUGUGUCUCGUGUACGCUGCAAUAAAAGUUGGCUUGUGGACAGGAGCGAUAGAGUAGACUUUUCACGUGAGAAAACCAUAUGGUGACUACUUUUUAUUAAGUAGGAGCCUGACAUUUGAUCUGAGAUGAAGCGAGACAACCCCCUGAAUUUAAGCAUAUUAAUAAGGGGAGGAAAAGAAACUAACAAGGAUUCCCCCAGUAACGGCGAGUGAAGCGGGAAGAGCUCAAUUUGAAAAUCGAUUUCCUAAACGGGACAUCGAGUUGUAGCCUAGAGACGUACUAUCAGCUGAAACCUGGGUAUAAGUUCUUUGGAAUGAGGCCGCAUAGAGGGUGAGACGCCCGUAUACGACCCAAAGCUUUCAGCGUACGAUGUAUGUUCAUCGAGUCGAGUUGUUUGGGAUUGCAGCUCUAAAUGGGAGGUAAGAAUCUUCUAAAGCUAAAUAUUGGCGAGAGACCGAUAGCGAACAAGUACCGUGAGGGAAAGAUGAAAAGAACUUUGAAAAGAGAGUUAAAAGUACUUGAAAUUGCUAAGAGGGAAGCGCUGGAAACCAGUCCUAUGUCGUGUCAAUCGCUUUCGGCCCCACUAGUGCGCGCGUGUAAUUGGAAACUUUGCUAGCGCGUACGAAAGGGAGGUCGGAGGUUUAUGAUGCGGCGUGAGUCAAGAUCAAUUCGGGAUGGGGGAGAAGGUGGCGGGAAAGGUAGGAGAGCAAUCUCUGUUAUAUUCCUGUUACUCUACCUCGCCCUGGAUUGAGGAAGUAAUGGUGCGCCGCUUGCGGCUUGGUCCGGCGUCUCUAGUGUCCCACUGGCUCUGCUAGCAAUGCUAUCUCUGUCGGGAAAGGCUCUACUGGGCGUCGUGAUUCUAUGUGCCAUCACGAUCUUGUACGAAAUGGUUUUCAUCGACCCGUCUUGAAACACGGACCAAGGAGUAACUUUAUGCUCCUUAAGAGUGCUUGCUUCAGAAGAGAAGCAAACACUAGUGCACGAGUGCACGAAAUCAGUGAAUUGCGGGGACCGGCGCUGGAGGACUCUACUAAGUUAUCCUUUUUUAACAUGAAGGAUGGCGGACCUGCUGAGAAGUGGGUGUGUAGUGACAAAGAGUCCUUUGUAUGUCAGAUCCGCAGCUAAAGCGUAAUAUAUAUAUUAUUUAUAUAUUUCGCUGAAGUUCAGAGACUAAGUACUGAUUGGGCCGCACGUGUGUGCGUUCUUAAGAUAUAGUCCUCCUGCUGCAACUAAGAAUUGCGAUUGGGAGUCUAACAUCUACGCGAGUGUUUUGGUGCAAAACCAUGACGCGAAAUGAAAGUAAAGGUAGUUUCGGCUGCUGAGGUAGGAAUCCCGCAAGGGAGGCACUAUCGACCGAUCAUCACUUGUGAAAGAUUUGAGUAAGAGCGUAUCUGUUGGGACCCGAAAGAUGGUGAUCUAUGCCUGAACAGGGUGAAGCCAGGGGAAACUCUGGUGGAGGCUCGUAGCGAUACUGACGUGCAAAUCGUUCGUCUGAUUUGGGUAUAGGGGCGAAAGACUAAUCGAACCAUCUAGUAGCUGGUUCCCUC
This 2243-nucleotide unclassified non-coding RNA is filed under the name uncultured fungus. RNAcentral describes it as "sequence contains 18S rRNA gene, ITS1, 5.8S rRNA gene, ITS2, 28S rRNA gene". The stretch from base 813 to 2243 matches the Rfam family "Eukaryotic large subunit ribosomal RNA", at positions 1 to 961 of the family's 3401-position model. Lineage: Eukaryota; Fungi. The record is from RNAcentral.